CUUGGUCAUUUAGAGGAAGUAAAAGUCGUAACAAGGUUCCCUUCUGCAGCGCAGCUCCGGAGACCUUGCACCCCGCAAGGGAGGCAGCACGACAGUAAACAAAGCUCGCCGCGUGCAAGUUGGCUUGGUAGCCAGCAACACAAUCGAAUUGACGGGGACCUCCUAAAGCCUGCAACACCAACCGUCCGGGGAAACUCGGGCGGGGCCCUCACGGGGUGGUAAGAGAGUGCAGGAUGAACAAUGGACGAUCCGCAGCGAAGACCCUACCGGCGAGAGCCCACGGGUACCGUUCACAGACUAAGUGAUUGUGGGCGGGGCGUCAUGUCCCGUCUAAGAUAUAGUCGGCCUUUGCCCGAAAGGACAGAGCCUAGCGUGUCCGUAGGUGAACCUGCGGAAGGAUCAUUAAAGAAUCGCCCCGUUUUUUGAAAUGGGUUCUAUUCCCAAACCGUGUCUACAUACCUUUGUUGCUUUGGCAGGCCGCCACUUAGGCGUUGGCUCCGGCUGACUGCGCCUGCCAGAGGACCCAAACUCGUUUGUUUAGUGAUGUCUGAGUACUAUAUAAUAGUUAAAACUUUCAACAACGGAUCUCUUGGUUCUGGCAUCGAUGAAGAACGCAGCGAAAUGCGAUAAGUAAUGUGAAUUGCAGAAUUCAGUGAGUCAUCGAAUCUUUGAACGCACAUUGCGCCCCUUGGUAUUCCGAGGGGCAUGCCUGUUCGAGCGUCAUUAUAACCACUCAAGCCUAGCUUGGUAUUGGGGUUCGCGGUCUCGCGGCCCUUAAAAUCAGUGGCGGUGCCGUCUGGCUCUAAGCGUAGUAAUUUAUCUCGCUAUUGGGUCCGGCGGUUGCUUGCCAACAACCCCCAACUUCUAAGGUUGACCUCGGAUCAGGUAGGGAUACCCGCUGAACUUAAGCAUAUCAAUAAGCGGAGGA
RNAcentral lists this ribosomal RNA (928 nucleotides) under uncultured Chloridium. RNAcentral describes it as "eukaryotic LSU rRNA". The stretch from base 570 to 723 matches the Rfam family "5.8S ribosomal RNA". Lineage: Eukaryota; Fungi; Ascomycota; Sordariomycetes; Chaetosphaeriales; Chaetosphaeriaceae. The record is from RNAcentral.